CAGAUAAUUCUCAGCUAUGUGACCCUGGGCAAGUCACUAACCCCCACUGCCAAGCCCUUACCACUCUUCUGCAUUAGAACCAAUACACAGUAUUGAUACUAAGACAGAAGCUAAGGGUUUAAAAAAAUAAAAAGAGAAAAAGUAAAAUUUUAUAUAAAUAUGAAUAGCACUGAUGAAAAAAAUUUCAAGGAAUUUUUUGAUAUGAUCAACUCAGGAUCCCAAACCACCCUCAUGUUUCCAUACAGCCCCACUCCCAACAGCUAUUAUGAAUUAUUGCUGAUAUCAUAAAGCAUUUUUUCUCUAGCUCUAUGACAGCAGCAGUAGGCAGAGAGUUGAAGGAAGAUCAGUCCUGAUCAGAGGACAGUGAAAAAGAAGUAUAUUGGGGAUUUUUUGGUUUUUCAAAUAUUUGGACUUUACCUUGGGUGUUGAGAUUGUGGAAGUUAUGAUAGAAAUUGCUGAAUCCAAACUAUCAAGAACAAUAUCUUCAAUUCACAGAUGAGGAAACUAAAAACCCAGGAGAUAGAUCAUUGAUGUGCGAUGUAACAGAUAAUAGUCAUGAGUGCACUGUGACAAUUAUGGAAAAAGAUUUGACCAUCUCCCCAAAUAAGAAGAAAAAUGAGUGGGAUUGUGAGGGAUGUAGUGACAACAAGAUGGAUGAAAUCAUUCUUGAGGAGGAAAUGGAACCUCCAAGAUGGGUUCAUAUUUCUGAGGAGACAAGCCCAGCACAUGUACAAGAAGACAUCAAUGUUCCGACUAAUUGGCCUUCUGUGACAUCAGAUAUGGAAAAAGCAUGCAUAUUUUCCCUAACUAAAGAGAAUGAUGUUGGAGUCCCCCAGGCAUAUAGUAACACUAGGAUGGAUGAAAUCAUUCUCAAGGAGGACAUGGAACCUCAAAGAUGGGCUCACAUCUCUGAGCAGACAAGCCCAGCAGAUGUACAUGAAGACAUCAGUGAUUCAACUAAUUAUGAUGGUACCUACAUUGGGAAAGUCCCCACAAAAUUUGAAGAGGACUACCAGGAGAAAAAAGUUUCCCUCCUAAAGGGUGCAGCUGGUGAUGGGGAUGAUUUUAUAUGGGAUGAUUAUGAUGGCAUUCCUGGCUGUGAAGAAAAUACAUGUUUUUUUAUGCCUUGCAAUGAAAAACAUUCCAAGCCAGCUCAACCUAUAUAUCCUAAUGGACAGAGAAGUCAUCAUCCAGGGGAGGAUGAAGGAAAGGAAGCUGAAGAAUCAUCAGACAGCAGUGAUGAAGGAGGCAUCUGGUUCACAGCACGAGUGACGACAUCAACAAGUAAUCAUCAUCAAGAGGAGGCUGAAGUUAAGGGAGCCGAAGAGUCAUCAGACAGUGGUGGGAGGCUGAAGGAAAGGGCAAUGAAGUCCCACUACACAAUGCUGACUCUACAAAUGAUGGGGGGAAAAACAGAAGGAGAAUAUUUUCUUUCUUUCGAUGCUUCCAGUGGAUCUCUAAAAAACAGAAAAAAAGCACUAGAAGAGAAGGUGGUGGUAUUGGUUGCCAAAAGGAAUGAAUCAAGAGAAAAUGUUGCAGAAGUUACAUCAGCAAGAGGAUUUUUUGUAUGCGUUUUAAAAAUCUAAAAAGUAAAAAAAAUGUCAUCAUGAAUUUAAGAUAAAAAGUUUAUCUUGAGUGUAUUUCAUACUCCAAUCAGUCAGUCAAUUCACAUUUAUUAAAGACCAACUAUGUGCCAUGCACUAUGCUAAGUGCUGGUCAUGUAAAGCAAGAGAAAAGAUAGCCCCCUACCUAAGGAAGCUCACAAUAUUAAUCUGAACACAACACACAGACAAUGAUCAAUGAGUAGGCUUUAUACAGGAAAAAUGCGAACUAGUCCACUGAGGGGAGGCACUAGAAUUAAGAGUCAUUGGGGAACAGGUUUCCUGCAGAAGGUGUGCUUUUAAGUAGGGCUUGAAGGAAGCUAGGGAAGUGUCUGGUAGGAAGAUAAGGUGAGGAGAGCAAGCAUUGCAAAAAUGGGUACAGCCAAUCAAGAAUGCGUCAGCCAGAGAGAUGGAUUGUCUUGUUUAAAGAUAUUGCAGUUGUUUGCAGUUGUUGAGGCAAAAGGAAAUUAAGGCCUUCACCAUGGUGGGUUGGGCAAUAUAGCAGAAAAGAAGAAGAGGCCAUAUUUAAGAGAUGUGGCAAAGAUCAAGUUGACUUGGCAAAAGACUAGAUUUUGGGUUGUAGUAGUGAGAUUUUGAGGAUGACAUUGUUAUGAGCAGGGGAAACUAGAAAGAUGGUGGAAUCCAGGACAAUGAUCGAGAAAUUUAGAAAGUGGAAGUGCUUAAAGAUAAUGAGUUCAUUUUUAUACAUAUUGAGUUGUAGGUGUUUACAGGACAUCAGAUGUGAGAGUAGAGGUCAGGAAAGAGUUAGAACUAGAUAUAGUUAAAAAAAAUAGAACUAGAUUUAUAGACAUAUAAGCAUUAUUGAAUUGAAUCCAAGGAAACUGAUUAGAUUACUAAACUUAAAAUAGAAGAGGGCCCAGAACAGUGCCCUGAGGGACAUGAAAAAUUAUUAAGUAUGACCUAGAUAUGACUGAUGGUGCAGCAGAAAGAGUGGUCAGAAGGAAACAGAACCAGGAAGGAAUCAAGAGCCCUCAGUAAACCUAGAACAGAGUACAGAAAAGGUUGUCAAAGGUUGCAGAGAGGUCAAGAAUGAUGAAGACUGAGAAAAAGCCAAUGGAUUUGGUCAAGAAGAUAUGCCUGAGGAGUUUAAAGAAAGUAGGUUGGUUUAAAUGAUGAAAUCAGAAACCAGACUAUAGAGAAAUAAGAAAAAAAUAGUGAAAAGAGAGGGGACAGAAGGAGUUAUAGCUUGUUCAAGGAGUUUAGACUAAAAAACACACUAGAUAUGUGACCAAAGUUAGCAAAGAUGAAUGGUUUGAGUUUUUUUGAGGAUGAGGCAUGGUUGUAGUCAGCAAGAAAGCAACCACUAGAUCAGCAGAUAUUAAAAGUAAGGAGAGAAGAGAUACUAGAGUACCUGGUGGAUUGGAGAGGACUUAUGCAUGUAGAGAGGUCUGCCUUGGCAAUCCUUGUUCAUCUUUUUAUGGGAGAUGUGAAGCACAAAGAGGAGACAGAGUGGCAGAAAGUAUCGGAGUAAAGAGGAAACUCUCAGCAAAUCAAGAAACAAGGGCUCUCCCUCAUAUUUAUGUGGGCUUAUUUUAUAAACUGAACUUUGCUAAGGUUGUGAAUUUUUUCAAUUAUUUUUAAGUUUAUUUUCUAGGAGUCGAAUAUACAUACCAUCAUAUCACCUGUGAAACAAUAGUUUUUUUUUUUCACUGCCUAUUCUAAUUCCUUCAAUUUCCUUUUCUUAUUGCUAUAAUUAGCAUUUCUAGUGUAAUACUGAAUAGUGGUGAUAAUAGGCAUCCUUGCUUCACUCCUAAUAUUACUGAAAAGUCCUCCAGCUUGUUCCCAUUACAAAUGAUUUCUACUGAUGGUUGUAGGUAGAUACACCUUAACAUUUGAAGGAAAGUUCCACACAGAAGAUCCUUUUUCACUAGUUUACUCCCAAAUAAAUUAUCAUUAUUCACCA
Molecule: long non-coding RNA, 3525 nt
Organism: Monodelphis domestica (gray short-tailed opossum)
Lineage: Eukaryota; Metazoa; Chordata; Mammalia; Didelphimorphia; Didelphidae
Source: Ensembl